This 497-nucleotide ribosomal RNA is filed under the name uncultured bacterium. RNAcentral describes it as "partial 16S ribosomal RNA". It matches the Rfam family "Bacterial small subunit ribosomal RNA", at positions 28 to 507 of the family's 1533-position model. The record is from RNAcentral.
GACGAACGCUGGCGGCGUGCCUAAUACAUGCAAGUUGAGCGCUGAAGGUUGGUACUUGUACCAACUGGAUGAGCAGCGAACGGGUGAGUAACGCGUGGGGAAUCUGCCUUUGAGCGGGGGACAACAUUUGGAAACGAAUGCUAAUACCGCAUAAAAACUUUAAACACAAGUUUUAAGUUUGAAAGAUGCAAUUGCAUCACUCAAAGAUGAUCCCCCGUUGUAUUAGCUAGUUGGUGAGGUAAAGGCUCACCAAGGCGAUGAUACAUAGCCGACCUGAGAGGGUGAUCGGCCCAAUUGGGACUGGGACACGGCCCAAACUCCUACGGGAGGCAGCAGUAGGGGAACUUCGGAAAUGGACGAAAGUCUGACCGAACAAAGCCGCGUGAGUGAAAAAAGUUUUCGGAUCGUAAAACUCUGUUGGUAGAGAAGAACGUUGGUGAGAGUGGAAAGCUCAUCAAGUGACGGUAACUACCCAGAAAGGAACGGCUAACUACGUG